UACGGGAGGGAACCGGGAAACCUUCGGGGCUUGCGCUAUCAGAUGAGCCUAAGUCGGAUUAGCUAGUUGGUGGGGUAAUGGCUCACCAAGGCGACGAUCCGUAACUGGUCUGAGAGGAUGAUCAGUCACACUGGAACUGACACACGGUCCACACUCCUACGGGAGGCAGCAGUGGGGAAUAUUGGACAAUGGGCGAAAGCCUGAUCCAGCCAUGCCGCGUGUGUGAAGAAGGUCUUCGGAUUGUAAAGCACUUUAAGUUGGGAGGAAGGGCAGUUACCUAAUACGUAUCUGUUUUGACGUUACCGACAGAAUAAGCACCGGCUAACUCUGUGCCAGCAGCCGCGGUAAUACAGAGGGUGCAAGCGUUAAUCGGAAUUACUGGGCGUAAAGCGCGCGUAGGUGGUUUGUUAAGUUGAAUGUGAAAUCCCCGGGCUCAACCUGGGAACUGCAUGCAAAACUGGCAAGCUAGAGUAUGGUAUAGGGGGGGGGGGGAAGUUUCCUGUGUAGCCAGUGAAAUUGGAGUAUAUUUA
RNAcentral lists this ribosomal RNA (530 nucleotides) under Pseudomonadaceae bacterium. RNAcentral's name for it is "bacterial SSU rRNA". It matches the Rfam family "Bacterial small subunit ribosomal RNA", at positions 187 to 698 of the family's 1533-position model. The record is from RNAcentral. Lineage: Bacteria; Pseudomonadati; Pseudomonadota; Gammaproteobacteria; Pseudomonadales; Pseudomonadaceae.